Molecule: ribosomal RNA, 3154 nt
Filed under: Actinomycetota bacterium
Lineage: Bacteria; Bacillati; Actinomycetota
Description: Actinobacteria bacterium (freshwater metagenome) 23S ribosomal RNA
Rfam family: Bacterial large subunit ribosomal RNA
Source: RNAcentral
ACAGAGAACGCGAGCAUCUUUAAGUAAGUGUGGCCAAGUUAAUAAGAGCGCACGGUGGAUGCCUUGGUAUCAGGAGCCGAUGAAGGACGUAGGAGCCUGCGAUAAACCUCGGGGAGUUGGCAACCGAACAUUGAUCCGGGGGUAUCCGAAUGGGGAAACCUAGCUGGGUGAGAACCCAGUUGCUGCCGUCUGAAUACAUAGGACGUCAGAGGGAACGUGGGGAAGUGAAACAUCUCAGUACCCACUGGAAGAGAAAUCAACCGAGAUUCCGUUAGUAGUGGCGAGCGAAAGCGGAAGAGCCUAAACCUCUCGUGUGUAAUAGCCGGUAGGCGUUGCACGAGUGGUGUUGUGGGGCCAAGCGGCCCGAUCUACCGAUCGGGCGAAGAGUAAGAAACUCAUUGCGUAGUCAAAGGUGUUGGAAAACACCGGCAAAGAAGGUAAUACCCCUGUAGACGAAACGCAUUGAACUCUUGUUUGUAGCCCCAAGUAAUACGGAGCUCGAGAAAUUCCGUAUGAAUCUGGCGGGACCACCCGCCAAGGCUAAAUACUCCCUGAUAACCGAUAGCGGACAAGUACCGUGAGGGAAAGGUGAAAAGAACCCCGAGAGGGGAGUGAAAUAGAACCUGAAACCGUGUGCUUACAAGCCGUGGAAGCGUCGUCCACUUCGGUGGGCCGUGACCGCGUGCCUUUUGAAGAAUGAGCCUGCGAGUUAGUGGUAUGUGGCGAGGUUAACCCGCGAGGGGUAGCCGUAGCGAAAGCGAGUCCUAACUGGGCGAAUGAGUCGCAUGCCCUAGACCCGAAGCGAAGUGAUCUACCCAUGGGCAGGGUGAAGCGCCGGUAAGACGGCGUGGAGGCCCGAACCCACCAAUGUUGAAAAAUUGGGGGAUGACCUGUGGGUAGGGGUGAAAGGCUAAUCAAACUUCGUGAUAGCUGGUUCUCCCCGAAAUGCAUUUAGGUGCAGCGUCACGUGUUUCUUGCUGGAGGUAGAGCACUGGAAGGCCUAGGGGCCCUACAAGGUUACUGACGUCUACCAAACUCCGAAUACCAGUAAGUAAAACGUGGCAGUGAGACUGCGGGGGAUAAGCUUCGUAGUCGAAAGGGAAACAGCCCAGAUCACCAACUAAGGCCCCCAAGCAUGUGCUAAGUGGAAAAGGAUGUGAAAUCGCAUUGACAACCAGGAGGUUGGCUUAGAAGCAGCUAUCCUUGAAAGAGUGCGUAAUAGCUCACUGGUCAAGUAAUUUCGCGCCGACAAUUUAACGGGGCUCAAGCACAUCGCCGAAGUUGUGGCAUGAACACAUGUACCUAGCACGCUGUAACAGGUGUGUUCAGGUGUGUCCUUGGGUAGGGGAGCGUCGUAUCGCGAGUGAAGCGGCAGUGAAAACUAGUCGUGGACGCGAUACGAGUGAGAAUGCAGGCAUGAGUAGCGAAUGACGGGUGAAAAACCCGUCCGCCGUAUGACCAAGGGUUCCAGGGUCAAGCUAAUCUGCCCUGGGUAAGUCGGGACCUAAGGCGAGGCCGAGAGGCGUAGUCGAUGGACAACGGGUUGAUAUUCCCGUACCGGCGUUGUUGCGACCGUGCUGAGCCCGGUAAUGCUAAGUAACCGAACCGAGACACCCUUCGGGGUGGCCUUGGGGAGUGUGCGAACCGAACCGGUAGUAGGCAAGCAAAGGGGUGACGCAGUAAGGCAGCCCAACCCGGGCGAUGGUCGACCCGGGGUAAGGACGUAGGCCGAGAUAUAGGCAAAUCCGUAUCUCACUAAGGCCGAGAUCUGAUGCCGAGCCGAUUAAGGCGAAGUGGGUGAUCCUAAGCUGUCAAGAAAAGCCUCUAGCGAGUGACAAAGCCGCCCGUACCCCAAACCGACACAGGUGGUCAGGUAGAGAAUACCGAGGCGAUCGAGAGAACUGUGGUUAAGGAACUCGGCAAAAUGCCCCCGUAACUUCGGGAGAAGGGGGGCCAAAAGCUGUGAGGGGGUUCGCCCCCCAAGCGGAGAUUGGCCGCAGAAACCAGGCUCAAGCGACUGUUUACUAAAAACACAGGUCCGUGCGAAGUUGUAAAACGAUGUAUACGGACUGACGCCUGCCCGGUGCUGGAACGUUAAGGGGACGGAUCAGCGGCUUCGGCUGCGAAGUUCAGAACUUAAGCGCCAGUAAACGGCGGUGGUAACUAUAACCAUCCUAAGGUAGCGAAAUUCCUUGUCGGGUAAGUUCCGACCUGCACGAAUGGCGUAACGACUUGAGCGCUGUCUCAACCAUAGACUCGGCGAAAUUGCACUACGAGUGAAGAUGCUCGUUACGCGUGGCAGGACGGAAAGACCCCGGGACCUUUACUACACCUUGGUAUUGGUGGUCGGUGCGGCUUGUGUAGAAUAGGUGGGAGACUUAGAAGCAUUCACGCCAGUGAGUGUGGAGUCGUCGGUGAAAUACCACUCUUGUCGAAUUGGCUGUCUAACCUCGAUCCAUUAUCUGGAUCAGGGACAGUGCCUGGCGGGUAGUUUAACUGGGGCGGUUGCCUCCCAAAAAGUAACGGAGGCGCUCAAAGGUUCCCUCAGCCUGGUCGGCAAUCAGGUGUUGAGUGCAAGUGCACAAGGGAGCUUGACUGCGAGACAGACAUGUCAAGCAGGGACGAAAGUCGGAACUAGUGAUCCGGCACCGGCAAGUGGAAGCGGUGUCGCUCAACGGAUAAAAGGUACCCCGGGGAUAACAGGCUGAUCUUGCCCAAGAGUCCAUAUCGACGGCAUGGUUUGGCACCUCGAUGUCGGCUCGUCGCAUCCUGGGGCUGGAGUCGGUCCCAAGGGUUGGGCUGUUCGCCCAUUAAAGCGGUACGCGAGCUGGGUUUAGAACGUCGUGAGACAGUUCGGUCCCUAUCCGCCACGCGCGCAGGAGUCUUGAGAGUACCUGUCCCUAGUACGAGAGGACCGGGACGGACGAACCUCUGGUGUGCCAGUUGUUCCGCCAGGAGCAUGGCUGGUUGGCUACGUUCGGACGAGAUAACCGCUGAAAGCAUCUAAGCGGGAAGCUCAACUCGAGAUGAGGACUCCCACAAGUCAUUUGGUAAGGCCCCCAGCAGAUUACUGGGUUGAUAGGCCGGAGGUGGAAGCACAGCGAUGUGUGAAGCUGACCGGUACUAAUAGGCCGAGGACUUGGCUCCAUUUACU